GUCUGGUUCAUUGAACAACUGGAGGCGGGGUUGACAAUUUUAGCUGGUCGUGGAGGUUGACGAUAGCCGGAGAAGGUAGUGAUCGUUUGGCUAUGGAGCUGGCGACUGGUUCAAGGGUGGCUGGAGAAGACGACGAAGCACCAACGAUGAAGGGUGAAAUGAAACCUUAAGAUGUGGCCUGCUAUUACUGAAAGACUGAUGAUUAUGUUAAUUUAGAGGCUUUAGUUAUCGAACUGAAAGACAUGAGCCUCUUUCCAUUGUAAAUCACAAUCAGUUGCUUACUGAAAGACUGAUGAUUAUGUAAAAUAUAUGAAAAGAUCUUGUUCCACAAAUCAAGCCCCUAAUUGUUCCACAAAUCAAGCCACUAAUUAAUAGUUGAUCUUAAACCUUAAAGAUAAAUUUGGUAUAUAAAUUGAAAGGUGAUAUACUUAAAUGUAAUAAACACUAACCUU
This 452-nucleotide long non-coding RNA is filed under the name Nicotiana benthamiana. RNAcentral's name for it is "long non-coding RNA (NBEN_LNC034332)". The record is from RNAcentral. Lineage: Eukaryota; Viridiplantae; Streptophyta; Magnoliopsida; Solanales; Solanaceae.